Molecule: long non-coding RNA, 347 nt
Organism: Myotis daubentonii (Daubenton's bat)
Lineage: Eukaryota; Metazoa; Chordata; Mammalia; Chiroptera; Vespertilionidae
Source: RefSeq, a predicted model, not a curated record
CCACUGGUGCUGGGCAUAGAUGUAAGUGAAGACCUAUCCACACUCCUGGCAAGAUGACUCAAGAGCAAAUAUCACACAGAGAGGAGGCAACAAAACAAAAUGCUAGAAAAAAAAAAUCAAAGACCAAGUCCUCCUGCCCUUCAACUGCAGCCCAGGAUGCUGAGGAGGCAGCAAUUCCUGGGGCCACUGGGAAGCCAGGACAAUUGACCUACAGCGAACCAUCCAGGCCGGGAGGCUGCCUUGCUUUGGGGAAUGGCAAGUGUGGUGCUCUGACACCACCACAAAUGCAGGACUUGCUGAUGAGAGACUUGUCCUCUUUCAAGAAAGUCAGUCACCAGAAGAGCGCA